GUGGCGGACGGGUGAGUAACGCGUGGGUAACCUGCCUUAUACUGGGGGAUAACAGCCAGAAAUGACUGCUAAUACCGCAUAAGCGCACAGAACCGCAUGGUUCGGUGUGAAAAACUCCGGUGGUAUAAGAUGGACCCGCGUUGGAUUAGCUAGUUGGCAGGGCAGCGGCCUACCAAGGCGACGAUUCAUAGCCGGCCUGAGAGGGUGAACGGCCACAUUGGGACUGAGACACGGCCCAGACUCCUACGGGAGGCAGCAGUGGGGAAUAUUGCACAAUGGGGGAAACCCUGAUGCAGCGACGCCGCGUGAAGGAAGAAGUAUCUCGGUAUGUAAACUUCUAUCAGCAGGGAAGAUAAUGACGGUACCUGACUAAGAAGCCCCGGCUAACUACGUGCCAGCAGCCGCGGUAAUACGUAGGGGGCAAGCGUUAUCCGGAUUUACUGGGUGUAAAGGGAGCGUAGACGGCGCAGCAAGUCUGAUGUGAAAGGCAGGGGCUUAACCCCUGGACUGCAUUGGAAACUGCUGUGCUUGAGUGCCGGAGGGGUAAGCGGAAUUCCUAGUGUAGCGGUGAAAUGCGUAGAUAUUAGGAGGAACACCAGUGGCGAAGGCGGCUUACUGGACGGUAACUGACGUUGAGGCUCGAAAGCGUGGGGAGCAAACAGGAUU
RNAcentral lists this ribosomal RNA (666 nucleotides) under uncultured bacterium. RNAcentral's name for it is "bacterial SSU rRNA". It matches the Rfam family "Bacterial small subunit ribosomal RNA", at positions 95 to 779 of the family's 1533-position model. The record is from RNAcentral.